Molecule: ribosomal RNA, 1151 nt
Filed under: Pseudanabaena minima I013-0005
Lineage: Bacteria; Bacillati; Cyanobacteriota; Cyanophyceae; Pseudanabaenales; Pseudanabaenaceae
Description: bacterial SSU rRNA
Rfam family: Bacterial small subunit ribosomal RNA
Source: RNAcentral
ACCGAAUGUGCCUUAGGGUGAAAGAUUUAUUGUCUAGAGAUUGGCUCGCGUCAGAUUAGCUAGUUGGAGUGGUAACGGCACACCAAGGCGACGAUCUGUACUUGGUCUGAGAGGAUGACCAGGCACACUGGAACUGAGACACGGUCCAGACUCCUACGGGAGGCAGCAGUGGGGAAUUUUCCGCAAUGGGCGAAAGCCUGACGGAGCAAUACCGCGUGAGGGAGGACGGCUUUUGGGUUGUAAACCUCUUUUAUCAGGGAAGAAUCGAUGACGGUACCUGAUGAAUCAGCAUCGGCUAACUCCGUGCCAGCAGCCGCGGUAAUACGGAGGAUGCAAGCGUUAUCCGGAAUUAUUGGGCGUAAAGCGUCCGUAGGUGGUUUAUCAAGUCUGCUGUCAAAGCGUGCGGCUUAACCGCAUAAGGGCAGUGGAAACUGAUGAACUAGAGUGCGAUAGGGGUAACAGGAAUUCCCAGUGUAGCGGUGAAAUGCGUAGAUAUUGGGAAGAACACCAGCGGCGAAAGCGUGUUACUGGGUCUGCACUGACACUGAGGGACGAAAGCUAGGGGAGCGAAAGGGAUUAGAUACCCCUGUAGUCCUAGCCGUAAACGAUGACAACUAGGCGUGGUUCGUAUCGACCCGAGCCGUGCCGUAGCCAACGCGUUAAGUUGUCCGCCUGGGGAGUACGCACGCAAGUGUGAAACUCAAAGGAAUUGACGGGGGCCCGCACAAGCGGUGGAGUAUGUGGUUUAAUUCGAUGCAACGCGAAGAACCUUACCAAGGCUUGACAUCCUCGGAACCCUGAUGAAAGUUAGGGGUGCCUUCGGGAGCCGAGAGACAGGUGGUGCAUGGCUGUCGUCAGCUCGUGUCGUGAGAUGUUGGGUUAAGUCCCGCAACGAGCGCAACCCACGUUUUUAGUUGCCAGCAUUCAGUUGGGCACUCUAAAGAGACUGCCGGUGACAAACCGGAGGAAGGUGUGGAUGACGUCAAGUCAGCAUGCCCCAUACGCCUUGGGCUACACACGUACUACAAUGCGUCGGACAAAGAGCAGCCAGCCAGCGAUGGUGAGCCAAUCUCAUAAACCGGCGCUCAGUUCAGAUUGCAGGCUGCAACUCGCCUGCAUGAAGGCGGAAUCGCUAGUAAUCGCAGGUCAGC